This 275-nucleotide ribosomal RNA is filed under the name uncultured bacterium. RNAcentral's name for it is "partial 16S ribosomal RNA". It matches the Rfam family "Bacterial small subunit ribosomal RNA", at positions 79 to 353 of the family's 1533-position model. The record is from RNAcentral.
CUAAGUUUGAUGGCGACCGGCGCACGGGUGAGUGACACGUAUCCAACCUGCCGAUGACUCGGGGAUAGCCUUUCGAAAGAAAGAUUAAUACCCGAUGGCAUAGUUCUUCCGCAUGGUGGAACUAUUAAAGAAUUUCGGUUAUCGAUGGGGAUGCGUUCCAUUAGGCAGUUGGUGGGGUAACGGCCCACCAAACCUUCGAUGGAUAGGGGUUCUGAGAGGAAGGUCCCCCACAUUGGAACUGAGACACGGUCCAAACUCCUACGGGAGGCAGCAUG